GGAGAGGUGCCCGAGUGGCUGAAGGGGCACGCCUGGAGAGCGUGUGUACGGGUCACCGUACCGCGGGUUCGAAUCCCGCCCUCUCCGCCA
RNAcentral lists this transfer RNA (90 nucleotides) under Oceanithermus profundus. RNAcentral's name for it is "tRNA-Ser". It matches the Rfam family "tRNA". From Rfam's summary of the family: Transfer RNA (tRNA) molecules are approximately 80 nucleotides in length. Their secondary structure includes four short double-helical elements and three loops (D, anti-codon, and T loops). RNAcentral also lists the same sequence under 3 other names. The record is from RNAcentral. Lineage: Bacteria; Thermotogati; Deinococcota; Deinococci; Thermales; Thermaceae.